RNAcentral lists this long non-coding RNA (488 nucleotides) under Equus asinus (donkey). RNAcentral describes it as "lncRNA (ENSEASG00005037523.1)". Lineage: Eukaryota; Metazoa; Chordata; Mammalia; Perissodactyla; Equidae. The record is from RNAcentral.
CCUGGAGCGCACGGCGCUGCCAUGGGCCCCCGAGGAAGGCGCUGUUUCCUCCUGUGGAUGGACGACGGCCCAGUCCGGUUUCCUCCCUGGCUCCGGAGUUCACAGGAUUCAUCCUCAGGAAUGGCUGCAUGGAAGACGGGAGAAACCAGGAGUCUUGUGGCCAGUGCUUGGGGUGAAGCCACCACUCUGGAGGGGAAGAGGCAGGUCUCAUUCAGGCAAACACUGCUCUGCUGCCUUUGGGCUCUUCUUUCUUGCUUCCCUUCCUGCCAAAAUGGUGAUUUUCUAGGGGAACCGUGAGAUCUGUCCUGCAGUUUCUUCGGGCCUGGGAGCUCAGUAUUGUCACAGGGCUAUGCACAGAAGUAGACAGAAGAUAAAGAGUGGGCCCAUCCCGCCAAGGCUUCCCACCUCCCUCCUGCUGGGAGACAACGGAGCGUGCUGUUCAAACAGAAGCUCUGGUGGUGCACUGCCUGUGUUCAAAUUCCAGUUUU